RNAcentral lists this transfer RNA (72 nucleotides) under Cricetulus griseus (Chinese hamster). It matches the Rfam family "tRNA". Rfam says of the family: Transfer RNA (tRNA) molecules are approximately 80 nucleotides in length. Their secondary structure includes four short double-helical elements and three loops (D, anti-codon, and T loops). Further hydrogen bonds mediate the characteristic L-shaped molecular structure. tRNAs have two regions of fundamental functional importance: the anti-codon, which is responsible for specific mRNA codon recognition, and the 3' end, to which the tRNAs corresponding amino acid is attached (by aminoacyl-tRNA synthetases). tRNAs cope with the degeneracy of the genetic code in two manners: having more than one tRNA (with a specific anti-codon) for a particular amino acid; and 'wobble' base-pairing, i.e. permitting non-standard base-pairing at the 3rd anti-codon position. Lineage: Eukaryota; Metazoa; Chordata; Mammalia; Rodentia; Cricetidae. The record is from Rfam by way of RNAcentral.
GCCCAGCUAGCUCAGUCAGUAGAGCAUGAGACUCUUAACCUCAGGGUCAUGGAUCGUGCCUCACGUUGGGUG